CUGACCUUAGCUCAGUUGGUAGAGUGGUGGACUGUAGUUGGACUAAUCUAAAUUGGAAAUCCUUAAGUCGCUGGUUUGAUUCCGGCAGGUUGGA
RNAcentral lists this transfer RNA (94 nucleotides) under Ipomoea nil (Japanese morning glory). It matches the Rfam family "tRNA". Rfam says of the family: Transfer RNA (tRNA) molecules are approximately 80 nucleotides in length. Their secondary structure includes four short double-helical elements and three loops (D, anti-codon, and T loops). Lineage: Eukaryota; Viridiplantae; Streptophyta; Magnoliopsida; Solanales; Convolvulaceae. The record is from Rfam by way of RNAcentral.